Small nuclear RNA from Cavia aperea (Brazilian guinea pig), 162 nucleotides. Its record names the gene U1. It matches the Rfam family "U1 spliceosomal RNA". Rfam says of the family: U1 is a small nuclear RNA (snRNA) component of the spliceosome (involved in pre-mRNA splicing). The record is from Ensembl. Lineage: Eukaryota; Metazoa; Chordata; Mammalia; Rodentia; Caviidae.
AUACUUACCUGGCUGGGGAGAUACCAUGGUCACGAAGGUGGUUUUCCCAGGACGAGCCUUAUCCAUUGUACUGUGGAUAUGCUGACCUCUGCGAUUUCCCCAAAUGUGAAACUCAACUAUAUAAUUUGUAGUAGUGGGGGACUUCAUGUGUGCUCUCCCCUG